This 4511-nucleotide long non-coding RNA is filed under the name Salvia miltiorrhiza (redroot sage). Its description in RNAcentral is "long non-coding RNA (SMIL_LNC001185)". Lineage: Eukaryota; Viridiplantae; Streptophyta; Magnoliopsida; Lamiales; Lamiaceae. The record is from RNAcentral.
AUCACAUACGCACACACCCUGCUCGCCACCUCACAUUGUGCCAUUUUCUGGGAGCAUUUGUUGGUCGUAACAUGGAUUUAACAGUCCAUCAAUCGUGCAUGUCUCUUUGCAAGGAGCCUUCCUCCUUUGAUUUAUCCACUUUACUUGAUGAUCGGAUUGUUUCUCCGGAGGGCGAACCUCGAUUUUCUGAGCCGGGAGAGACCCUCCCGAGCACUCAUUUCCCUCCAGGUACAGGUACAGUGGAGGCUCUAGCAGAGGAGGUGCAGGGCUUACGGGCCGAGUUUGUGCAGUUCAGGGUAGACAUGACGCAGCAGCUCGCCCAAAUUGACGGGAACGUGGCAGCGCUCCAGCAGAGUAUAUCUGAGUUGAGUGCCACGAUUCGGGCUGAGUUGCAGCGGCAACAUACACGGUGACAUCUUUCCCCUUCGUUGUUUUGUUUAGUGUUGAUGUUCUUGUUUUCUUGUGUUGUGUUGUUCUCCUCCUUUCAGCUUUUUCUUUGUUUGCUUGAGGGCAAGCAAAGCUUAAGUGUGAGGAGGUUGUGUCAGUUGUUGAGUCUUUUUAAUUUUAUUUUGCUUAAGUGUUGGGUUUGGUUUUGUGUUUUGUUGAGCCAAGUAUUGCUAGAUUGUGAUGUUUAUGGACAUUUCUUGCCUAGUGGAGUCUUGUUAUUAACUUGGUGAAUCAAUAUACUGUCAAGUGGUGAUUUGUGAUCUGAAAUUUGGAGAAUUGUUGAAUGAAAUUUGGGAUGACGAAAUAGGGCAAUAAUUGAAUUUCUUUAACCCUCACUAAAUGAGAUUUGAGCCUAAAAAUAGUAGAGCACUAUCUACUUUGAUUUUUCUGAGAGAAUUAUUCACAAGGUUGCGAUAUCAUGUGUGUCAUGUGUAAUAAAUGAUAGAAGGCACUAGGGUGAACCAAUUUUGGCCUGCGUUUCAUUGUCUGACCCGUACAUUAACCCCUAGUGAGCCAUUUUGAAGCCUUGACCAUGUUUUGUUCAUAUGAGUCACUUAAUAUUUAGCCAAGACCUGUUUUGACCAUCUUUUGGCCCUAUUGUGCAUGUUUAAAUUCGAAAAUUCAUCCUGUCUGAUUUUUAGAGGAAAUGAAGAUAUCUGUGAAGUUCAGUCUGCCCAAGUGGAACUCUGUGCUGAAUUUUCUGUUCUGAAAAGCUGGAGAUAUGGUCUGUUAGACCAAACGGAGGCAGAAGCUAUAACUGAUGGUCUAUGAUUGUUGUGUACUUUGAUAUGCGCUGAAAAAUUGGUUCAAAAAAAUUGAGAAACAAAGGUGCUGAAAAAGAAAGAAAAAAAAAAAAAAGAAAAAGAAAAGAAAGAAAAAAGGAAAAAAAAAAAGGAGUGCACCUAAGUGAGUUGAGAAUAUAUAGUUAAUAUAUGAUGCUCUUUUGUUCGCCCUUGGUUUUCCUCAGAUGCUUAUUGGUUAUGGAUGAUAAUUCGUUUUGAACAUGCAUGAUACCUCGUUCUUAUUUUCUGAAGCGUAGGUACCCUGUUUAGAUCCUUCCAAAAUCAAAUAAUGGUCCAUAGCCCCAUUACGCCAAAUGAGAAAAGACCUUCUUGAGUUACAAAGUGACCACUUUAUAUCGCGACUGCGUGAAACAUGUCUAUGUGUGGCUGUCCAGAAUUAGUGUAGGGAGUGAAUGAGUGAAAACUGUGAGCUGUAUUCGAUUUUGUCUGAUUUUGACCGAGUUGAUGAUAAGGAUCCAUUUUGAUGAUUUCAGUUGCUAAUUGACAGUUGAGAAUUGCUUUGUGAAUUGCAUGAUUUUACUUGGUAAGGGAAGUUUGUGAACAAAGACUAUUUGGUUGUACUUGGCUGUUUCGUGUGUCGUGUUUGUCGUGUCUUUCUUCUUUUAGUUUUCCUUUUUUAGUUGAGUCGUUAGUGUCGAGUCAAGGGGAAAGUUUGUUGAGAUUGCUAUUUCCACCUUUAGAUUUUCUUCACCUCAUACUUGAGGGCAAGUAUGAUUCAAGUGUGAGGAGGUUUGAUGUGUGCGAUUUAGUUAUCUUUUACCGUGUUAUUUUCCCGUUGUUUUGCUCGGAUAUUACCCGUUAUUUACACUUUUGGUGUAGGGAUUGCAUGGAUGGAGGAGAAAGCUUGAAGAUGGAAGAUUUAUUGAAAGUCGAGAAAUUGAUUGAAGAAGUUGGUGAAUUUUUGGAGAGAUUUAGAGAUUUGGGCUUUGGAGAUAUUUAUCUUGUAAUUUAAUUAAGCCAAAUACUCUUUUAAUUAAUUUUGGGCUUUAGUUUUUUGGAAAGGGCCGAAACCCAUGAUAAUUAGGGUGUUCGGCCACUUAAGGGUUAAUUCCCUUGUGUUUGAUUUAAAUUAGGACUCUAGUUUAGUGGAGCCGCAACUUUGGACUUUAGAUAUUUAGUUGACUUUGAUUAGGAGAUAUCAUAUACUUUUUCCUUAAGCUUUUGAUCAGCACGUUGAAUUUUGGUUUAAUGCAUGCAAGUUUUUAGUUUUAUGUUAUUACUUUUUUUCUAGCUUUGGAAUUAGAGAGGAUUGCGGCUGGAGUAUGUUCGACCUUAGCAGCGAUUUCUUUUAAUUUUCGAAGUGUGGUGAUCAGUUUAUUUCAAUUCCAUUUAUAUUUUCAUUUGUAUUUUUCUUGCAAUUUUAUUUCGUUUAUUUUGUGUUUGAUUAUUUUAUGAUUACUUUAAUUUAUUUGAUUGUUGUUAAUUUAAUUAUGAGUAACUAAACUUUUAAUUCGGCAAGAAUAAAGAAGCACUAAUUUAAUAAUCUGUGAGACCUAAUUGAGUCCAAAAAUUGAUUCCUAUUGAUUUUGAUUAAUUCCUAGAGUUUAAAGAUAAUUCCGAUUUUAUUUAAGUCUGGCCAACUUAGAUUUAAUUGGAUUACAGUCAAUUAGCACCUCUAAUCCGUAAUUGUUGGAAUAUGCAGAUAGUGAUAAAACUAUUAUGUUCGUAGUAGGAAUUAAUUGGUAUAUUAAUUAUUACUAGCGUAUCUAGGAUAAUUGAUAUAAAUUGAGUUCCUUCAUCUUAAUGCUAUUAGAAUAUUAAAUCUAAGACUGACGUAUCCAGCUAGGUUAUAUUUUAAUAAGGGAAAUAGAUAGGACUAACGUAUCUAGCCGUCUAUCGACACAGUAAGUAGGAAUUGGGGUAUAUCAGUGCGUAUCACGAUAUCCUAUAACUAAUUGGUUAAUAGGGAUUAAUUAAUUAUUGCGUCGAUGAUCAGAGAUUGAAUUAGUGUGGAUUUAUUUGAACCGAAUUACCUUUUUAUUGAUUUAUUUCAAGAAUAGUUUUUAUUUGAUUUAUUGCAUUCUUAGUUAAUUAAUAUUUUUCUCAAUUUAAGGCGUGGUGGCAUCACCGAUUUUAUAGAUUUAGGGAAUUGAAUGGUUUUAUCUGCUCUCUGUGGGAUCGACCCUGCUUAUCACGAUACUAAUUUAUUUUGAUAAUUCUGCAGAAAUUAUUUGGUGGUAUACGACGACCACCAACUACUAUGGGAACUUGAUAACAAGGAAUCCAAAGAAAGAAGCUCAUUGGGUUAUUCUAUUAAAUAUAGUUUUAUCUGAAUAAUAAUUUCAUAAAUCAAUGAAAAGGGAAACUGAAGCACAUAGGAAAAAAUUGGUAAUUUUAAAGUAAUAGUAUAAUCUGAGCAAGCAAAGAACUCACAUUUACUUUCUUCCAGUCAGCAGUCUAACCCCACUUUUUUGGCUCACUCACCUGCCAUGGAAAAUUGGGAAAAACAUACCGUCAUCACUGUUGUUAAAAUUUCAACAAGUAAAGAAAAUUUCACCAUAAACUGUGUAUAAGCCAUGACUUCUUGGAUCAAGAAUUCGAACUAUCAGUGUGCCUGUGUUGGCCUAGUUGUAGAAGAUUAAUACUUAUGUAAUACUUGUGUAGAAUUGAAUUGGUAAAGUAUGUGAACCCCAAAAUAUAAGGCAAAUCAUGUUUGAUUGCCAUCCAAAGCAUGCUUCAUAAAACAAUAGGAUCAUAACUUACUAUUAAAAAAAAUGAUCCAAAGAUGCUUAUUAAAAUUCAUAUAUAAAUUACUAGUUUCUUAUCUCGGAAUGUGCUUACACCCCAAAAAUAUGCUCAUAGCCAUUGAAGAGAAAGAAAGAGGAAAAUUUAGUGAAGAUCUUAAACAACACCUUCAAUCCCCAGUUCAAUGAAAACCUAGAUAGAAAAUUAUUAAAGCAAAAAUGUAAGGUAUCAUCUACUGCCCCUCGCCAUUAUUUUAAACCAAAAAAAUUAAGAAAAUAAACACAAUUAAACUAAAAUCCUCUGACCGGCGGUUCAGGAUGAUGCAGCGGCGGAGGCGGCGACUUCCGGCCGACAGCCAGCCGCAGAUCUGAGCACAGCAGCAGCGAACGGAGACGGCCGGCGUGCGGCGAGCAACGCCGGGCUGGUGGCUGGCAACGUAGAGGGUUGACUGAGGGACGCCGAGCUCGAGGCGACGUCGUCUCGUCGAAGGCGGCGUGGUCUGAUAGGCGAUUGAAGGAGGGGAAUUAAGGGUGAGAAAAACUGAAUUUGAAAAUAGGGGGAGCCACCACACAAUCA